AUACAUACAUACAUACAGAAAGAUAAAAAAAGUAUAAUAAGCUGGCUACGCAGUGAGCUUCACUGCCCCCGCGCCACCUACCUACUCAGCUAUACCUACCUACCGUCCAGCUCUGCUCCGCCCGCGCCGCGCGGCGGAGCCAUGGCCGCGGCGGCGCUCCGCUUCCCGCCGCUCCUCUCCUCGUGCGCCACGCCUACCACCACAGCCGCCACCUGCACCCGGAGGACGGCGUCAGCCACCCUCAGGGUCGCCGCGCAGCCCGGAUCCGCCCCCGCCUCUGCCUCCACCUCCACCUCCGACGGGCCGCCGGAGUUCUCGCCGCCGGACGGGUUCACGCCUCCGGUGCCCAGGCGCUUGGCUAUCAAGGAUGGGCAGCUCGGAAGCGUCGCCGGCGCGGCCCUCGCCGUGCCUUUCCGCCUCGGCACCGGCCUCUUCGUCCAAGGAUACUCGGUAUCACUAGUCUCUGCUGACAAAAUACCCGCAGACCAAUAUUCGCUGGAAUUUCUAGGUCUAAAGGUGAGGGAGACCUCAAAGAUAGAUCAGUGCCGUCGACCAGAAAAACCUAUUGAGAUAUACGAGUUUGAAGGCUGUCCAUUUUGUCGAAAGGUGAGAGAGAUGGUAGCCGUCUUGGACCUUGAUGUUUUAUUUUAUCCCUGUCCACAAAAGGGGCCAACAUUUCGUCCAAAGGUUUUGGAGAUGGGAGGAAAGAAACAGUUCCCUUACAUGGUGGAUCCAAACACAGGAGUUGCCAUGUAUGAAUCAGAUGACAUCAUAAAAUACCUUGCGGACACAUACGGUGAUGGAACUAUUCCAAUUAUGCUAUCGCUUGGUCUAUUUACGACAAUAACAGCAGGGCUUGCUACGAUUUGGCGUAUAUGGAAGGGAUCUUCAUACACUGUUUCAAAGCUUCCACCCCAGCCGAUAGAGAUCUGGGCAUACGAGGGCUCUCCUUUCUGUAAAAUAGCACGAGAGGCCCUUGUUGAAUUGGAGUUGCCACACUUGCUACACAGGUAUUCGAUAAUGAAAACUUCACAACGCAUCUGUAAAUAGCUGUGCACGUGGCAGCCCCAAGCGACAGGAAAUUUUUAAGAAACUUGGCCUUUUCCAGGUUCCUUAUAUCGAGGAUCCUAACACGGGGGUCAAAAUGUUCGAAAGCUCUGAGAUCGUAGAGUACCUAAAGGCAACAUAUUCACUCUAUCCUCAGUAAACAUGUCGCCCGAGAUCUCUGAAUUGUCCAUAUAUAGUAAGGAUUUAUAAUUUAUUCUUUACAAUAAAACACUGAGUCCAAAUGCAGUGUACAAGUUGUGUUCAUCCAGUUGCUAUAUAUUGCUCUGCUUGGGGCUUGUAUGGUAGAUAAGGAAGAACCGGGCAAAGUGUAUUGUCGAAGUUCCGUCGAUUAUCGCCCUUCAAGUAUUGUGAAACUGUGUGGAGAUGAAACUUUGUAGCACGGGAAACAUGUCGGGUUUAUGAAGCAAAGAUGUACAUAUAUACUGUC
This is an RNA transcript of Triticum urartu, 1495 nucleotides long. RefSeq lists it as uncharacterized. NCBI's taxonomy places the organism in Eukaryota, Viridiplantae, Streptophyta, Magnoliopsida, Poales, Poaceae. The record is from RefSeq and is a predicted model, not a curated record.